AGAAAGCCAAUCUCAGUUCGGAUUGUAGGCUGCAACUCGCCUACAUGAAGUUGGAAUCGCUAGUAAUCGCGAAUCAGAAUGUCGCGGUGAAUACGUUCCCGGGUCUUGUACACACCGCCCGUCACACCACGAGAGUUUACAACACCCGAAGUCAGUGGCCUAACCGCAAGGAGGGAGCUGCCUAAGGUGGGGUAGAUGAUUGGGGUGAAGUCGUAACAAGGUAAC
RNAcentral lists this ribosomal RNA (225 nucleotides) under uncultured bacterium. RNAcentral's name for it is "partial 16S ribosomal RNA". It matches the Rfam family "Bacterial small subunit ribosomal RNA", at positions 1276 to 1500 of the family's 1533-position model. The record is from RNAcentral.